Molecule: ribosomal RNA, 542 nt
Filed under: uncultured bacterium
Lineage: Bacteria
Description: bacterial SSU rRNA
Rfam family: Bacterial small subunit ribosomal RNA
Source: RNAcentral
AAUAGAUACCCGGGUAGUCCACGCCGUAAACGAUGUCGACUUGGAGGUUGUUCCCUUGAGGAGUGGCUUCCGGAGCUAACGCGUUAAGUCGACCGCCUGGGGAGUACGGCCGCAAGGUUAAAACUCAAAUGAAUUGACGGGGGCCCGCACAAGCGGUGGAGCAUGUGGUUUAAUUCGAUGCAACGCGAAGAACCUUACCUACUCUUGACAUCCAGAGAACUUUCCAGAGAUGGAUUGGUGCCUUCGGGAACUCUGAGACAGGUGCUGCAUGGCUGUCGUCAGCUCGUGUUGUGAAAUGUUGGGUUAAGUCCCGCAACGAGCGCAACCCUUAUCCUUUGUUGCCAGCGGUCCGGCCGGGAACUCAAAGGAGACUGCCAGUGAUAAACUGGAGGAAGGUGGGGAUGACGUCAAGUCAUCAUGGCCCUUACGAGUAGGGCUACACACGUGCUACAAUGGCGUAUACAAAGAGAAGCGACCUCGCGAGAGCAAGCGGACCUCAUAAAGUACGUCGUAGUCCGGAUUGGAGUCUGCAACUCGACUCC